UUUCUUGUAACUCCAUAGACCUGGGUGUCUUGGAUCUGAAUAAAAUUACAUGACCAUUCAACUCUCCAGAGGAACUUGAGAAUCAUUCUUUUCUUGAGCUGAAGUGGGAUAUUUUGGAAUUUUGAGAGUUAAG
Molecule: non-coding RNA, 133 nt
Organism: Sorex araneus (European shrew)
Lineage: Eukaryota; Metazoa; Chordata; Mammalia; Eulipotyphla; Soricidae
Source: Rfam